RNAcentral lists this ribosomal RNA (443 nucleotides) under uncultured soil bacterium. RNAcentral's name for it is "bacterial SSU rRNA". It matches the Rfam family "Bacterial small subunit ribosomal RNA", at positions 26 to 442 of the family's 1533-position model. The record is from RNAcentral.
AGGACGAACGCUGGCGGCGUGCUUAACACAUGCAAGUCGAACGGUGAAGGGACCAGCUUGCUGGUUCUGGAUGAGUGGCGAACGGGUGAGUAACACGUGAGUAACCUGCCCCCUUCUUCUGGAUAACCGCAUGAAAGUGUGGCUAAUACGGGAUAUUCUGGGUCUGUCGCAUGACGGGCCCGGGAAGAUAUUGCUUCGGGUGGGGGAUGGGCUCGCGGCCUAUCAGCUUGUUGGUGGGCGAUGGCCUACCGAAGGCGGUGACGGGUAGCCGGCCUGGAGAGGGUGGACGGUCACGACGUGGGACUGAGACACGGCCCAGACCGUCCGUACGGGAGGCAGCGAGGUGGGGAACUAGUUGCACGAAGUGGGCGCAAGCCUAGAUGCACGCGACCGCCGCGGUGAGGGAGUGGACGGUCGUUCGGGUUAGUAAACCCGUUCGUUCG